RNAcentral lists this long non-coding RNA (207 nucleotides) under Phoenix dactylifera (date palm). RNAcentral describes it as "long non-coding RNA (PDAC_LNC007211)". Lineage: Eukaryota; Viridiplantae; Streptophyta; Magnoliopsida; Arecales; Arecaceae. The record is from RNAcentral.
GUGACACCUAGCAGCAUGUAGUGGCUACCCAGCAGAAUAGAAUGGUGAACCUCUAGGUGCAGUUAUUGUGUGAUACAGUCCUUCUAUCGUGGAUCCCUACAAGACGGAGGUCAUGGAUAACUCGUCAAACCCCUUCGUCUGUCAUAUGUCAAGAUUUAUUCGACUUAAGUUCGAGAGCGGAGAACUCUUUCUCCACUGUGCAAUCUG